AGAUCAGAUUCGCUGAGUCCGUAACAUGGGAGCGGGGAAACCAACCGUGGCUGUAAACUUAAAGCCACAUGGGGUGAAUCUCGAACAUUUCGAGUAGGGUGACUCUUACAUCCGAAUCCGUCAGCUAACUCCGUAAGCGUUUCAAGAGAGGUAAC
Molecule: small RNA, 155 nt
Filed under: Brevibacillus choshinensis
Lineage: Bacteria; Bacillati; Bacillota; Bacilli; Caryophanales; Paenibacillaceae
Description: c-di-AMP sequence
Rfam family: c-di-AMP riboswitch aptamer (ydaO/yuaA leader)
About the family: This family represents a conserved RNA structure found upstream of the ydaO and yuaA genes in Bacillus subtilis and related genes in other bacteria.
Source: RNAcentral